RNAcentral lists this ribosomal RNA (472 nucleotides) under Brycon petrosus. RNAcentral's name for it is "partial 16S large subunit ribosomal RNA". It matches the Rfam family "Bacterial large subunit ribosomal RNA", at positions 1927 to 2555 of the family's 2925-position model. The record is from RNAcentral. Lineage: Eukaryota; Metazoa; Chordata; Actinopteri; Characiformes; Bryconidae.
ACGGCCGCGGUAUUUUGACCGUGCUAAAGUAACGCAAUCACUUGUCUUUUAAAUGAAGACCCGUAUGAAUGGUAGAACGAGGGCUUACCUGUCUCCCUUCUCAGGUCAGUGAAAUUGAUCUGCCCGUGCAGAAGCGGACAUAUAAAUGCAAGACGAGAAGACCCUUUGGAGCUUAAGACAUAAAAUCAAUUGUAUCAAAAACCCUUAAUAAAAAGAACCAAACAAAACAACACCUGAUUAACGUCUUCGGUUGGGGCGACCACGGGGGAAAAUAAAGCCCCCACGUAGAAAGGGAUUAUACCUAAAACUAAGAAGGACACCUCUAAGUCACAGAACCUCUGACUCAAAAGAUCCGGCACACGCCGAUUAACGAACCAAGUUACCCUAGGGAUAACAGCGCAAUCCCCUCCAAGAGUCCAUAUCGACAAGGGGGUUUACGACCUCGAUGUUGGAUCAGGACAUCCUAAUGGUG